AGUGAAUAGAUACCCGGGUAGUCCCAGCUGUAAACCGAUGCAGACUCGGUGAUGAAUUGGCUUAAUUGCUAAAUUCAGUGCCGCAGGGAAGCCGUUAAGUUUGCCGCCUGGGGAGUACGGUCGCAAGACUGAAACUUAAAGGAAUUGGCGGGGGUAGCACCACAAGGGGUGAAGCCUGCGGUUCAAUUGGAGUCAACGCCGGAAAUCUUACCGGGGGUCGACAGCAGAGUGAAGGUCAAGCUGAAGACUUUACCAGACAAGCUGAGAGGAGGUGCAUGGCCGUCGCCAGCUCGUGCCGUGAGGUGUCCUGUUAAGUCAGGUAACGAGCGAGAUCCCUGCCUCUAGUUGCUACCAUUAUUCUCAGGAGUAGUGGAGCU
RNAcentral lists this ribosomal RNA (377 nucleotides) under uncultured bacterium. Its description in RNAcentral is "bacterial SSU rRNA". It matches the Rfam family "Archaeal small subunit ribosomal RNA", at positions 725 to 1093 of the family's 1478-position model. The record is from RNAcentral.